This 405-nucleotide ribosomal RNA is filed under the name uncultured bacterium. RNAcentral's name for it is "bacterial SSU rRNA". It matches the Rfam family "Bacterial small subunit ribosomal RNA", at positions 958 to 1367 of the family's 1533-position model. The record is from RNAcentral.
AACGCGAAGAACCUUAACCAGCCCCUGGACAUCCUGCGAACUUUCUAGAGAUAGAUUGGGCCUUCGGGAACGCAGUGACAGGUGCAUGCAUGGCGUCGUCAGCUCGUGUCGUGAGAUGUUGGGUUAAGUCCCGUAACGAGCGCAACCCUUGUCCUUAGUUGCCAGCAUUUCGGAUGGGAACUCUAGGGAGACUGCCGGUGAUAAACCGGAGGAAGGUGGGGAUGACGUCAAGUCAUCAUGGCCCUUAUGGGCAGGGCUACACACGUGCUACAAUGGCCGGUACAGAGGGCGGCGAGGCGGCGACGUGGAGCCAAUCCCAGAAAACCGGUCGUAGAUUGCAGUCUGCAACUCGCUGCAUGAAGUCGGAAUCGCUAGUAAUUCGCNAAUCAGCAUGUCGCCGUGAAU